This 472-nucleotide ribosomal RNA is filed under the name uncultured bacterium. RNAcentral's name for it is "bacterial SSU rRNA". It matches the Rfam family "Bacterial small subunit ribosomal RNA", at positions 355 to 825 of the family's 1533-position model. The record is from RNAcentral.
UGGGGAAUAUUGGACAAUGGGGGGAACCCUGAUCCAGCAAUGCCGCGUGUGUGAAGAAGGCCUGAGGGUUGUAAAGCACUUUCAGAGGGGAGGAGGACUAUUAGGUUAAGAGCUAGAUAGUUGGACGUUACCCUCAGAAGCAGCACCGGCUAACUCCGUGCCAGCAGCCGCGGUAAUACGAAGGGUGCUAGCGUUGUUCGGAAUCACUGGGCGUAAAGCGCGCGUAGGCGGCUUAACAAGUCAGAGGUGAAAGCCUGGAGCUCAACUCCAGAACUGCCUUUGAAACUGUUAAGCUUGAGUGUCGGAGGGGAUAGCGGAAUUUCUAAUGUAGAGGUGAAAUUCGUAGAUAUUAGAAGGAACACCGGUGGCGAAGGCGUCUACCUGGCCUAAUACUGACACUGAGGCACGAAAGCGUGGGGAGCAAACAGGAUUAGAUACCCAAGUAGUCCCUGAGCGGGCUGGCAAGGCGCAU